CAAAAAAAAAAAAAAAAAUCAUAUGAUCAGCAUUACUCUAUGACCCCUUAAUAAAGUAAUUAAUUAUGAAGUGCGAUCCGAAGGUAAGAACUUAUAAUAAUCAGUAGCGAAUUCUAUGCUAAAGAAAUUGCUAUUGGUUGAAUCACCAACUUAACACAUAUUGCAGCAACCUAAGGAAAUCUUCUUAACAGAAUCACACUAGAAUGGAUCACUGAGUACUAUUCCAAGUUAAGCACUUUAGGAUAGCAAUGGAAGAGCAAAGAAAUUCCUUUGCCUUAAGUAUUUCAAACUUUUUGUUAAAUUCAUGCUAAAUGUAAUUGUACAUUGAUGUUGUACAGAUUAAGAGAGGGCGGCGGGGGGGAGGGGGUUGGGGGUUGGUGUGCGCGCCUGCGGGGGCGGGUUGGGGUGUGGGGUGGUGAAGAGAAGAAAAAAAGAAAAGAAAAUGAAAAAACAAAUAAUAAGACAUUGAGAUCUUCACAUGUAGGUGAUGUAGAAUCAAGCUAAGAGAAAAUGAAAUAGGAAUAGCCCCUGAUAUAUCACACCAUUACAAUAAAGAAAAUCCCCUAUUCCUGAUAUAACAAGAGAAUAAAAGAACCCAAAAUCCUAGAUUUUUUUCCCACUUCAAUAGGAUAAUGAAAAUAUAGAAAGAUGGGGGGACAAUUUGGUGAGGAGCCCAGUUACAACAAACAGUGCCUAACAGAUGAAGCAAUAAUCUUUACAAGUUUUGACUUCAGGGUCUUAAAAAGGAGCCUCCUUCUUGUAUGGUAUGAUUGGAGGGGGCACUUCAUGUUACUUGUUUUGAUUAGUUCCCCUUGAGAGUUGCUUAGUUUAGGAGGAUGCCUUAUACUCCUUUCUUCUUUAAGAAAAUUUCUUAUUUUCUUUUCUUAUCAAAUAAAUAGAUAAAUACAUAAAUUACCUUUAUCAGUCUAAACUAAUUGAGCUUAAAUAAAUUUCAAAUUGUGGCAAGUAAAUAAGUUCAACAGAAACAAUUUACAAAUCUGAUAACCAUUCAACAAAUAAUAUAUAUGUCUGCAUGUGAUCAUAA
This 1045-nucleotide unclassified non-coding RNA is filed under the name Hevea brasiliensis (rubber tree). Lineage: Eukaryota; Viridiplantae; Streptophyta; Magnoliopsida; Malpighiales; Euphorbiaceae. The record is from RNAcentral.